This is a non-coding RNA of Pantherophis guttatus, 1410 nucleotides long. Lineage: Eukaryota; Metazoa; Chordata; Lepidosauria; Squamata; Colubridae. The record is from RefSeq and is a predicted model, not a curated record.
AGCUGCAAAGAAGAAAAGGAGCUGCAGCUGAGCGACUUGGAGGACUUGGAUGAGGAAGAACCAGACAUGAAGGUUGAAGAUGAGCUGAAGCACCUUCAUCAGGACGGCCUCCUAAUUGGCAGAGCAUUGACUGAGUCUCUGAAGAACAGCUGUACUGGAAGCUCAGCUGGUCCUUUUCAUGCUUUUUCAUGUGCCAAGCAACAUUCACCGAUUACAGGGGACUUUCUUGGCCACAAGGAGAAUAACAUAGCAGUGAGUCUUGCCACUCAAGGCCAACUCUACGAAACUCCAGAAAAGCCACGCAUCUGGUCCCUAGCUCAUACAGCAGGAGCCAACAUGGUUGUGGGGACCACCAGCCAUCCUGCUCAAAGGACAGAGAGCCCCGAUUGUUUGGUGCUCAAGGGAAGGUGCUCAGGGACUGAUGGACAUUGCAGCGAAACAAGCCACUGGGCAACCUUGUGAGAACACAACCCAUUCAUGACAAGGCCUUGGAAGAGCUGCCACCUCCAGCUAAGAUCUUCAAGAGUCCAACCUUCAACCUACAGUCCAUUGCACUAAACUAUGCUUCAUACCCUGUGCUAGGGGAGACAUGUCAGUACGCAACAGGAACAGAAGGAUUUCGGAGAAGCAUACGGGCUGCUCAAACUUCUCUGGACCUGAGUGAUGUUUGUCUCAGCCAACAUAAAGAGAAACUCAGAACAGCUUUCAGGCCGGUGCUGAAGAGGUGAAAAAAGUUAUGGAAAGCCACCCUGUUACUUGAACUUCUCAAGAAAGUAUGGAAACAUCAAGCUUCCAGGGAAGACACCCAUUAUCUCUAAUGUGAAUCCUCAUUUUGUCUGUUUUCCUCUUUCUCGGAGCUCUUCGGACCAUGAAUGACUGUUACAGCUUCUCAUGUCAGAAGGAAGGGAGGAGAUAACCUUAUGAAACACAACUUUAACCAUCACAAGGCCAACCAGAAAACAUUCAUAGGGAUCGGAUUUUGCUAUGUAAUAUGAGCAUCUCUCCUGUGCUAAGUUUGUCACCAAACUAUGUUAAUUGAACUGUGACUCUCCGGUAAAAUUCUGCCAAUGUAUUUUGGAUUUCGGAGAGACCUUGACUUCUGUUGUAGAUCUGUGUUGUUCUCUGUAUAAUGGAAACUAACAAUGUGGUUAUUGAACCAACCUUUCUUUCUUUCUUUUUUUCCUUUUUCAUAUCCCAAAUAUCUACAGGAUGUGUGGGGGUUAACAUCCUUUCAACAGAUCUUUUAAUACUUAUUUUUCCCCAUUUUUAACUUUAAGUGUGUUUGUGUGUCAUGUUUCUGCAAAGGAGUCCUUUCCUAGUUCAACCUGCACAUUUGUUUAUUAUUGCCUUGUACAAAGAUAUCACAGAAAGUAUUUUUAAAACUCUCGAAUUAAAAUUCCAACAACUGAA